AUACGCCACGAAAUUUUUGGAGGAGACGGGAGAGAGUGAGGGCUUCGAGAGUGUUUUGCAAAGGGAUUGGGAGAGAUUGUUGUCAUCCUCCAAAACCGCCACGUCUUUGCGCAUCUCGUCCUCUGCUGGGUCAACUUCCUCAACCUCAUCACCACCGGAAGAAAGCGAGAGACGAAGUCACCUUUCUGAUUUCUUCCAGGGUUCGUCGGAGGCGAGAGAAGGAGAAGAGAAGUGGGGAGAACCACGAUCGGCCAGAGAGAGGGAGAGAGGAUCUUUUUUGCCAUUGAGGAUCGGUUUUCCUCUCAAUGGCUGCUAGCAUAUUUGGACGCGCUCUCCGGCGCCAAUCGACGACGCUUUUCCUAGCCCGCACCCUCUCCUCCACCGCCGCCGCUUCUGCUACCGCUCCCAUCCGCGCGACCCUGUUUCCCGGCGAUGGCAUCGGGCCCGAGAUUGCCGAAUCCGUCAAACAGGUGUUUAAUGCUGCUGAAGUGCCCAUUGAAUGGGAAGAACAUUUUGUGGGUGACCAAGUUGACCCUAGGACACAAAGUUUUUUUACUUGGGAAAGUUUAGAAUCUGUGAGGAGGAAUGGUGUUGGCUUAAAAGGGCCAAUGCCUACACGGAUUGCAAAGGGCCAUAGAUCAUUGAAUCUUGCCCUGCGGAAAGAACUUGGUCUCUAUGCCAAUGUCAGAUCUUGCUACAGUUCACGCAUCUCGUCCUCCGUUGGGCCAACUUCCUCAACCUCAUCACCACUGGUGGCAACAUCUCAUCGCACCACGACGUUUCCAGGUUCAUGGUUUGGGGAAUCAUUCCUAAUAUCCGCAUAAGCACAAGCGCAUGUUAAGUGGACUUGGUCUGUUUGAAGCUUGCAAAAAGUUGUGGGCGGAUCUUGAAGAUGCUGGUCUUGCUGUGAAGAAGGAAUCAUCUACAUCAAGAGUACCAAGAUCAUAACGUGGUGGGGAGGUGAUAGAGCCACUUGUUGGUAAGCAGUUGUUUGUAGUCAUGGGGCCUUAGGGCACUGGAAAAGGGAAACAAACCCAUCAUUCUUGAGAGGUUUGAAAAGGUACACGUGGUAUGUGAGGUUCUUUUUUUCCCAAAAUGAAGUUAAUAUUCUAUAAUAUGUUGCUGAAGGUCCUUCACGUUUAUCAUGUGUCUAUUCUGUGUUUUGUUUGGAGAACCUUGCUUUCAUUCAUCUGAUUGAUGAUCAACUUAGACUGCCCUCAUUUAUUUGCAGAUGUUUUGUGUAGUUUUGGCUUGUUUGUUUCUGAUCUAGUGCUUAUCUCUAUUCCAUGCUUGAAAAUACUGUUGAUUGUUGUACAGUUCUUUACUGCUUCUUAUUGCCAUUCAUAUGACAAUUAAUUUUUAAAUCCAUAGCUUCCGUUGUCUAGGCAGAUUACAACAGCUAUUCAUAAAUGGCUUUUCUAGUUUUCAGAUAUACUACCCAGCUGUAACAGUAGUUGCCUUUAUAAAUAUGAUAAUAUCCCUCUACCAUGAGCAUUCAAAUUUAAGAUCUUGUUCUGUAUUUUAGAUAUUUCCUUUUCAAUGAAAGAUAAAGGCAAAACAUGAGUAAGA
This is a long non-coding RNA of Nymphaea colorata (pocket water lily), 1569 nucleotides long. RefSeq lists it as uncharacterized. Lineage: Eukaryota; Viridiplantae; Streptophyta; Magnoliopsida; Nymphaeales; Nymphaeaceae. The record is from RefSeq and is a predicted model, not a curated record. The transcript is spliced from 4 exons.